GUCGGCAUAACUGUUAAGGUUGUUGUCUUCACUUCAGUUUUAAUAUCAAACAUUAUCAAGUCGAAGAAAUAAUCAUGUAGCACCGCAGUAGGUGGUUCUAAAAUAAAAAUUUCAAAUAUAAAUUUGAAAUUUUCAACUCAUACCAGUGGUAUUUUCGGCCAUAAGUACGAGAUGUAAUCGAUCCAGAUGCCUUCGUCAAGCAUUCGUCUAAACAUCGAUUCGCAAGAUAGAGGCUGAAAACUAAAAGCAAGUUGUAUUGGAUGAAGCCCGGUUAUUAACUCAAUUUUAAAUGGAAUGUGUUAAAACCCACCCUUCAGUAACAAAAAUUUUAUUUAUAACACCUUGGUAUAAUCGAUAGAUAUCCAGAAGCCUUCGUCAAGCAUUCGUCUAAACAUAGAUUCGCAAGGUAGAGGCAGAAAACUAAAAGCAAGUUGUAGUGGAUUAAACCUAUAGGUUUAUGGGAAAUCCUCCACUCUUGGAAAACAUUCUGUAAUUCAACAGUGACAAACUAACGAAUGAAUAAAACACCUUGGAUUUUAA
This is a long non-coding RNA of Zophobas morio, 540 nucleotides long. RefSeq lists it as uncharacterized. The transcript is spliced from 5 exons. NCBI's taxonomy places the organism in Eukaryota, Metazoa, Arthropoda, Insecta, Coleoptera, Tenebrionidae. The record is from RefSeq and is a predicted model, not a curated record.